GUCUACAGCCAUGCUACCCUGAACAAGCCAGAUCCUGUGUGAUCUCAGAAGCUAAGCAGGGUCAGGCCUGGUUAGUACUUGGAUGGGAGACUACCUAGGAAGACCAGGUGCUGUAGGAG
This 119-nucleotide ribosomal RNA is filed under the name Pteropus alecto (black flying fox). Lineage: Eukaryota; Metazoa; Chordata; Mammalia; Chiroptera; Pteropodidae. The record is from RNAcentral.